CAGAAAUUGAGGAAAUUGGUAUGCAACACACAUAUGCAUGGGACAACAAAAACUGAAAUAGUUGCUAAGUUGGUGCUUCAGCUUUCUGUUUUAAACCAAUAGGAGGAUAAUUAGACAUUUUACUGGAGCUUUUCUGGAACUUCGUAUUGCUUGGUAGUUGGUACCCUUCUAGAUGACUGUUUCAUCAGUGUUAAAAGCCCAUCUUCAAUAAUUGGGAUACGGGGUUUUUAUUUCUUCCAACCCUAAACUACUAGUAGGUGAAUCCUUUCUCUUGCUCAAGUUACUUACUGGUAUAGGUUUCAGGAGGUUUUUCCAUACACAUGACUUACAUGCAAAUGAGCAAAUGGUAUGAUAAACUUCUGGAAUGGCCACAAUUAGCGCUCUAUACAAUCAACAGCGGUUGCGUAUGGGAGUGGCUGGUCUUUGUUAUAUUGAUUGAAUGAGUUUAUGUAGUGUGAACAUGUGAUGUCAGUUUAAAAAAAAAAAAAACAACCUUGCGAGGUCUGUGAUGUCAGUUACAUGACUUUCCCUUCUCCACAACAGGGACACCUAGAAAAACAACCCUGCAAAAUUGCAUAGCAUAAUGGUUAACUUUUAUUACGGGAGCCAUGAAUUUUAUACCACUUAAACAUCAAUUGUAUGCUGAAAUCCCUACAUAAUGACUGAGUAGUAUUAUUAAUCGCAAUUGAUAACAAAUCUAAUUAUUACUAGGAAAGGAGAGGGAUGUACUUGUCGAGAGUGAGAGAAGUGGGCGUUGAGGGACGGAGGCGGGAGGAAGAGGAGAGAGAAAGGAGGGGUUAGGUUCUUCAGGUUGACAAGCAGCGUUGAGGUGCUCUCAGUCUCGAGCCUCGUGUCUUCAAGACGAGAGGUUUAAACUUCUGUGCACCUUCAAGAUGCGAUUGGCUUCAUGGAAUGGCGCUGUCUUACAUACUUCAGACCUCGCGAGGUUGUAUUUUUGUUUUGGAACUGACAUUGCAUGUUCAAGGUGUGAUGUCUUGUCCGCACAAAACAGACAUCUCUUCUCGACGAUUAAUUGGCUAUUAUUGAAUUUAUUUUAUAAUCUGGAUUGUUUACAUUAUAGAUAGAUAUCAUUAUAAACAAUAACCGUACCAAAAACCAUGCUAAUAGAAUAUCGGUCCUGCAAACCUCCUCCUACCAAUAAUUCCAAACAAAUUUGGAUAUCGAUACAUAUCUCACGAAUAUUAAUACACUUUCACAAAUUCGGUUCAUGUUUUCUGCUUAUUCCAUUUCAUUUGGCUUUAAAGGCAGGAAAUAAUUUUUCCCUGGUGUUUCAGCUGAGAAUAUGCAAAGGCAUAUCUUAUGCAGCAGUUGCUGCUCAUGCAGAUAAGAGUGGCAGACGGAAAUUGGCUGCUAUGUUCGUUUCAUUGAACAUGAACCACGUUCUUCCAAGCAGGUUCCUCUACUGUUAAGCGUUGGAGAAGAAGAUAAUGCUCUGACAAAGCAACUGAAAGUGGUGACACUGACCUUGGUUAUCUUGUUCUGUUUCAUAUAUGGCAGAAGAUUGGAGGCAGUGUAGUUCAAAACUUGGCAUGUAGUAGUAUUUUGGGAAUGCCGUGGGUGGUUUUUGUAGCAUUAGCGUGUCGAAGAACUCCUGGAGCUUGUCUUAGAAGAGAAUUCACCUCAAGAAGUUGUACACUUGCAUGUAUCGGCGUAGUGUGUUCUUAUGUUCUAAAUUGACCUCCAUAAUACUUGCUUUGAAUUUUUUCUAGUUUAAAUCUCUGAGCAUUUUCCCCUCUCCUUCAUGGGCUCUCUCCUGUUGUAA
This is a long non-coding RNA of Rhododendron vialii, 1783 nucleotides long. RefSeq lists it as uncharacterized. The transcript is spliced from 3 exons. The record is from RefSeq and is a predicted model, not a curated record. NCBI's taxonomy places the organism in Eukaryota, Viridiplantae, Streptophyta, Magnoliopsida, Ericales, Ericaceae.